GCCAGCAGGCAUGGCCCAUCCACACACCCUCCUGGGUGCUCAGACACCUGGAGGAAAGGGCUGUCCUUUCAAAUCCUCCCCCAGGACCCAGGCAGCAGGCGGCUGCCCCUACCUGCCUCUGUUUGCACCUGGCCUUCCUUCCAUGGGGCCCUCAGGUUGCCCAGGGCUAGGAGGCUGAGGGGAGGGCAGGUGGUGCCAGGCCUGGGCAUCCACCCCCCUGCCCAGUGUCCUCCUCCAGCCCCUGGAAGCUGGGCUCUGGCUGGGGCUCUGGCUGGGACCGACUGUGUGCCAAUGCCUGCUUCUGACCCCCCGGCGUGUGCUGACCUGGCCGGAGGUUUGCUGGCACCGCACGUGAAUGGAACACCAGGAACGCUUUGAAGACAGGCCACAUGGAAUAAGGGAGACUUCUCGUGCGGGGCGUGACCUACGACUGGAGACAGAGCUUCUGCAGGGAGGGGAGGCCUGACGCGGGCGCCAGGGGCCUGGCAGUUCCGCAGGAGCACGAGGCUCCUGUUGUAGGGGGACUGUUGGCGUCCUGCUCGACGUGGGUCAAACCAAAUUUGUUUGGAUGUGACCUGGGUUGCCUUUUACCUACGUGUGCCUGCUGGCGCUGUUCCCAGCAGAGCAGAUGAAAUGGAAGACACAGGCCCUGGACCGGCAAGCAAACCCCCGACACCGGUGGAAGCGUGGAUAGGCCAUCCCGGCGUCGCCGGAGGGUUUCUGGUCUCCCUGUGGGCUCUCCUCUCACGUGGGCCCUUCCUCUCCCGUUUGGAAGGAGGGUUUGGGGCAGUGACUUAAAUAAUCUCUCCGGCAGGAAAGAUCUGAUCAUCUGUGGCCAGUGAAGUGUGGAGACCCCCCUGCUCGAAGAGGCCCAGUCCGUGAGGGGCGCCCACGUCGGGGCAGCUGCUGGCUUCCGAGGGCACCCGCCAGCGAGCAGGGAGGCCGGCCGUCGGUCCCGUGUGUGCCACUAGCACAGUAACAAGCCUUUUUUCAGGUGGUGACUUAUUUGUAAAGGCUCGGGUGUUCUCCAGUGUCUAAUUAGUACAGACGCUCAUUCUUCCUGUUUUCGAAUGAAAUAGAUUUUGAGGAAGAUUUUAGCUCACCUGGGUCUGGGUCUGCAAACCCUGUGGCCCAUGAAGUCAUUUGUUAUUUUAUUGUGACCGUGCACACGAUGCAAGGGUGAGAGAAAGGUCAGCAAUAACUCUGCUGUUGCAUUUUAGCCUGGAAAAAAUGUAAUAUUGAUCGAUAAGAAAAUGGGAGAGCACAACUAUGAGCGCCUUACGUGAUCUUCUCCGACCUUUACCCGCCAUGUUGAUUCUGUUCUUAAAUGUUAUGUCUCCCGUUCAAAAGGUUUGUCCUGUUUAGUCUCCUAUUUAAU
This 1378-nucleotide long non-coding RNA is filed under the name Vulpes vulpes (red fox). Its description in RNAcentral is "lncRNA (ENSVVUG00000022345.1)". The record is from RNAcentral. Lineage: Eukaryota; Metazoa; Chordata; Mammalia; Carnivora; Canidae.